GCCAGUGUGGUGUAGUGGCUUCACUGCUGGACUAGGACUGUGGAGAACAGGGUUCAAAUCCCUGCUUGGCCA
This 72-nucleotide transfer RNA is filed under the name Phrynosoma platyrhinos (Desert horned lizard). RNAcentral's name for it is "tRNA-OTHER". The record is from RNAcentral. Lineage: Eukaryota; Metazoa; Chordata; Lepidosauria; Squamata; Phrynosomatidae.